CAGGCUUAACACAUGCAAGUCGAGGGGCAGCAUUUCAGUUUGCUUGCAAACUGGAGAUGGCGACCGGCGCACGGGUGAGUAACACGUAUCCAACCUGCCGAUAACUCGGGGAUAGCCUUUCGAAAGAAAGAUUAAUACCCGAUGGUAUAAUCAGACCGCAUGGUCUUGUUAUUAAAGAAUUUCGGUUAUCGAUGGGGAUGCGUUCCAUUAGGCAGUUGGUGAGGUAACGGCUCACCAAACCUUCGAUGGAUAGGGGUUCUGAGAGGAAGGUCCCCCACAUUGGAACUGAGACACGGUCCAAACUCCUACGGGAGGCAGCAGUGAGGAAUAUUGGUCAAUGGGCGCAGGCCUGAACCAGCCAAGUAGCGUGAAGGAUGACUGCCCUAUGGGUUGUAAACUUCUUUUAUAUGGGAAUAAAGUUUUCCACGUGUGGAAUUUUGUAUGUACCAUAUGAAUAAGGAUCGGCUAACUCCGUGCCAGCAGCCGCGGUAAUACGGAGGAUCCGAGCGUUAUCCGGAUUUAUUGGGUUUAAAGGGAGCGUAGGUGGACAGUUAAGUCAGUUGUGAAAGUUUGCGGCUCAACCGUAAAAUUGCAGUUGAUACUGGCUGUCUUGAGUACAGUAGAGGUGGGCGGAAUUCGUGGUGUAGCGGUGAAAUGCUUAGAUAUCACGAAGAACUCCGAUUGCGAAGGCAGCUCACUGGACUGCAACUGACACUGAUGCUCGAAAGUGUGGGUAUCAAACAGGAUUAGAUACCCUGGUAGUCCACACAGUAAACGAUGAAUACUCGCUGUUUGCGAUAUACAGUAAGCGGCCAAGCGAAAGCAUUAAGUAUUCCACCUGGGGAGUACGCCGGCAACGGUGAAACUCAAAGGAAUUGACGGGGGCCCGCACAAACGGAGGAACAUGUGGUUUAAUUCGAUGAUACGCGAGGAACCUUACCCGGGCUUAAAUUGCAUUUGAAUAUAUUGGAAACAGUAUAGCCGUAAGGCAAAUGUGAAGGUGCUGCAUGGUUGUCGUCAGCUCGUGCCGUGAGGUGUCGGCUUAAGUGCCAUAACGAGCGCAACCCUUAUCUUUAGUUACUAACAGGUCAUGCUGAGGACUCUAGAGAGACUGCCGUCGUAAGAUGUGAGGAAGGUGGGGAUGACGUCAAAUCAGCACGGCCCUUACGUCCGGGGCUACACACGUGUUACAAUGGGGGGUACAGAAGGCAGCUACCUGGUGACAGGAUGCUAAUCCCAAAAGCCUCUCUCAGUUCGGAUCGAAGUCUGCAACCCGACUUCGUGAAGCUGGAUUCGCUAGUAAUCGCGCAUCAGCCAUGGCGCGGUGAAUACGUUCCCGGGCCUUGUACACACCGCCCGUCAAGCCAUGAAAGCCGGGGGUACCUGAAGUACGUAACCGCAAGGAGCGUCCUAGGGUAAAACUGGUAAUUGGGGCUA
Molecule: ribosomal RNA, 1437 nt
Filed under: uncultured organism
Description: 16S ribosomal RNA
Rfam family: Bacterial small subunit ribosomal RNA
Source: RNAcentral